GCUGGGGGAUAACCUCGCGAAAGUGAGAACAAUACCCCAUGGGUCACUAUGCCUGGAACGGUUAGUGGCUGAAAGCUCCGGCGGCACAGGAUGGGUCUGCGGCGUAUCAGGUCGUAGGGGGUGUAACGUACCUCCUAGCCUUCGACGCGUACGGGUUGUGAGAGCAAUUGCCCGGAGAUGGAUUCUGAGACACGAAUCCAGGCCCUACGGGGCGCAGCAGGCGCGAAAACUUGACAAUGCGAGAAAUCGUGAUCAGGGGACUCCAGUUGGCUGGAUCAAAAGUCCAGUCUGAACCGACUUUAAAUCGGUCGGGUAAUAGGGGCGGGAAAGACCGGUGCCAGCCGCCGCGGUAAUACCGGCGCCCCAAGUGGUCGUCACUAUUAUUGGGCCUAAAACGUCCGUAGCCGGUUUGGUAAAUCCGUGGGUAAAUCAGACAGCCCAACUGUCUGAAUUCUGCGGGGACUGCCAGACUUGAGACCGGGAGAGGUGCGGGGUACCUGCGGGGUACCGGUAAAAUGGGAUCAUCCCGUAGAGACCACCUGUUGCGAAGGCGCCGCACUAGAACGGAUCUGACGGUCAGGGACGAAGCCUAGGGGCACGAACCGGAUUAGAUACCCGGGUAGUCCUAGGUGUAAACGCUGUGGACUUGGUGUCGGGGACCUUCUGAGGGUUUCCGGUGCCGGAGUGAAGAUGUUAAGUCCACUGCCUGGGGAGUACG
RNAcentral lists this ribosomal RNA (718 nucleotides) under uncultured Candidatus Poseidoniales archaeon. RNAcentral describes it as "SSU rRNA". It matches the Rfam family "Archaeal small subunit ribosomal RNA", at positions 118 to 839 of the family's 1478-position model. Lineage: Archaea; Methanobacteriati; Thermoplasmatota; Candidatus Poseidoniia; Candidatus Poseidoniales. The record is from RNAcentral.